UCUAGAUUAGCUCGGUUGAUAGAGAAUCUGCCUGCAAUGCAGAAGGCCCUGGUUCAGUUCCUGGGUCAGGAA
Molecule: transfer RNA, 72 nt
Filed under: Bos taurus (domestic cattle)
Lineage: Eukaryota; Metazoa; Chordata; Mammalia; Artiodactyla; Bovidae
Also listed under: 4 other names
Rfam family: tRNA
About the family: Transfer RNA (tRNA) molecules are approximately 80 nucleotides in length. Their secondary structure includes four short double-helical elements and three loops (D, anti-codon, and T loops).
Source: Rfam by way of RNAcentral